Molecule: long non-coding RNA, 4310 nt
Organism: Lutra lutra (Eurasian river otter)
Lineage: Eukaryota; Metazoa; Chordata; Mammalia; Carnivora; Mustelidae
Exons: 5
Source: RefSeq, a predicted model, not a curated record
UAAAUCUUAAAAAAAAAACAAAAACCCAGAAUGUUGAUCAAGACACUUGGGAUAGGGACGCCUGGACAUUCUGUUGCUGGGUUACUUGUGAGAGAUGUACUGUGACUGGACAGGCAGACAGCUUUCAAGAGGGUACAGUAGAACUGGUAAAAGUGUAGUUAGCUAUGUUUCCAGAAACUUUUGGCCAGUUGGCUCUAUUUACAUUUUGCCUGAUUGAAGAAAACCAUCUUAAGGCUUACCUCUAGAUUGGGACUUUUUUUAGCAGUGUCAUGAAAAUUUAUGUAAAGAUUAUUAGAAGUGAAGAAGAUUAAGAGAAUAGGAGAUCUGUUAAAUAGCCUAAAUGAGCUUUUUGCGACUCUCCUUUUAUUUGGAGACAUGAAUUCCAUCAUGCUGGCCUGGGGAGAUCUAUUAGAAAGUAAAUUUAUAUCAGCAGCCAACUACUGCAUUUGAAGAACCAAUGUCUGAAUGCCCAAAUGUAAAGAAUGGUGUGGAUCCUCAGGCAUUUCUUGCCUUGCCUCUAUGGGAAAAUGGAGUAGUCGUGGGAAGGUGAACUAAACAAUGAGGACAAGUAUAGCGAUAGCAAACAAUGACAACACAAAUCUCAACCUGCCUUGGCUUUUUCUGCAGUCGGAGAAUUCUGAACUUGAGCCAGAGAACUCUAUUUCAUUCUGCAGCAGGCUCCCAUCCCUUUGGAAAAGGUGAGGGUACAUAUGAUGAAUAAAUAAUAUCAUCAUAUUUUGCUUCAGUAGAAAAAAACCUGCGCAUGCAAGCAACAAUCUCUUCCUUGUUUCAAUAUUAAAUUGCUUAGUUGGACUAAAGCAAACCCUUAAAAACAAGAAAACCGCUUGGCAUCCAUAUCGGUUAGUAUAAACACAAAGGAAAUCAAUCAACAUGAACGAAUGAUAUUGAGUCAACUUUGACUUUCUUUCCCACUGUACUUCUUUUUACUUAGGCUUCCUGGGAAUUAUAUUUUGGGAAGCCCUGAGGCCCAGAAAGCUCAAAGGAGUCAAUGGACUGAGUUAUGUGCCCCUUGCCCCCAGAUUCGUAGGUUGAAGUCCUAAGUGCCAACAAGACCAUGUCUGCAGCUGGAGCCUUUAGGAUGUGACCAAAGUUGAACAAAGUCAUAGAGCGGAGUCCUGAUCCUGUAGAAUUAGUGUCCUUUGUAAGAGACACCAGAAAGCUUGCUCUCCCCCAACAUGAUGGGACAAGCAAGAUGGCAGCCUUCUGAAAGCCAGGAAGUCAGCUGUCACCUGACGCCUGGUCAGUCAGCACCUGAUCCCAGACUCCCCAGACUCCACAGUUGUGAGGAAAUGUCUGGUGGGCUCAAACUGGAUAGAAAAGAGACGCUGCUCAAAGUCUGGUCACAGGUUCUACUUGUUAAUAGUUGAUGAUGGUCAACAAGCAGAGCGUAUGACACUUUCACCACGGGAAGGGUUCAGGGCUUGGACCUAGAAAACGUACUCUCGAACUGCGAUUCUACUAUGACCAGCUGUGUGCCCUCGGCUAAGCACUUACCACUUUCCACACUUCGACUGUCUGCUGAGAGAGACAGUAAGAGAGAGAGAGCAUGAGAAGGGAGAAGGUCGGAAGUAGAAGCAGACUCCCCAUGGAGCUGGGAGCCCGAUGCGGGACUCGAUCCUGGAAGUCCGGGAUCAUGACCCGAGCCGAAGGCAGUUGCUUAACCAACUGAGCCACCCAGGUGCCCACCCACCCUGUUUUCAAACACGACUCAGAGCAGCUGUUUUCAACUGUCACCUCUACAUGUUCCACCUUCCAGGCUCCUUGGACUCACUGGUCCCAGAAGACUUUAUGCUUCCCUGCAAACUAAUUUCUCCUGUGUUCCCUGUUUCUCUUCAUGCCUGGACAUUGGACACUCUGGUCACCUUGGUUCUCGGUAGGUCCGUCUCAGCUCAGCUGCAUGCUGGAAUGACAUGGGCGGGGGGUCUUACAUAAGCAUGCAUGAGCCUCACUUGGAAUCUUGAGGGUAAGAGCCAGCCUUCAGCAGUUUUAAAAGCUCCUUAGGUGGUUCAGUCUUGCAGCCAAGGUUGAGAACACUUCUCCAGGCCUUGGGGCAUCUCGGACUCUUCCAGAUGCAAGCUGGCAGUCACAGGGCUGGUCUAUGACUUACCCCUAAAAUAUCUCGGGGAUCUGUCACCUCCUUUCUGACCCUGUGUUCUCCCCUUGGCUUAAGCAUCAUUAAAGCACCUCUUGGCCUCUCGUUUUCUCCCUUUCUACUCUUGCCAGACAAAUUCUCCCUCAUGUCUGGUUCUGAUCAUAUUAACCCUCAUUUCAAAACCCUCCCAGCUGCCAUGUGCCUGGGUCCUGGUUAUGCACGCCUUUGGUCAGGUGCUAGCUCUCUCUGCCAGGUUUAUACCCACCACCCCUGUAAGAAACGUUAUGACAGCCCAGACAAACUUGCUUGCCCUUCCUCCUAUUUGCCCCCAUACUUCCUGCCACUGUGCCUUUGCACACACAGUCUCUGCUCCCUUUCUUCUAUACUGCACAUGUCUGCCUCCCAGGCAUUCAUGAAGGGCCGCCCCUCAUCUUUCCAGCCGGGAGUAAUGUCCUUCUCGGAAUUGUGUUCAAACUUCUAUGUUCUCUGUCAGAGAACCACUGUAGGGAAAACAGUUUACAGAUUAACGGAUUCUUUUUCUGCUUUUCCUUUAAUAGUCAAAACGAGUUACUUGCUUUACGGGGACAGUGGUGCUCAAAAUUGAGUAACACUAAGGAUCACCUGGGGAACUAAUUUAAAAUGCAUAUUCCUGGGCUAAUUUCCAGAGAGUCUCAGAAUGCGAGAACGAAUGCUCUAGCAGAAGCUCACCAACCUGCAAGGUUUUCCGGAUGGUGCUCCUGUGGCCGUGUUUGGAGAACUGCUGAGAUAGGAGGUUGGAUCCCUGACCUUACUGACAUGUUGAAAUUCUGUAAUACAAAUCCAAGGCAGCCUGUACAGUAGCAUAUUGUUAAUACUGUUAAUAUUUCACAUAACUUUAAGGAUGGGCAGACUGGGUAAGUGAGUGAAGUGGCCCCAGAGCUUGGGGGGCAGUCUCAGGAAGUGGGGGGAGCUACGAUGGACCUGGGAGGGUCCCAGCUCUCUGCCUCUGGGUCCUUAUUUCCACUUCAGAAUGGGAAACAAGUAAUGCCUGAUCUUUCCAUUUUCUCGGAAAGCUGGAAAUCCAGAUGUUCAUGUGGUGUUUCCAGAUUAUGUUUUUAAAAAUGCUGUAAGUUUUGAUACAGUACUUUGAGCCUUUGCAACCCUGACCUCAAUCAACAAUGUAAUCAUAACUGAAGAAUAAAUAGAAGCAAAUACUUUGCGUUGGUUUGUUUUGCUGCAAGGGUGACAUGUGAUAUUUUCUUAUCUGUCAAUUGACAAGUGCAGUCUGUAGAAAAGAGACAAGGACAUUUGAGGACUUCGUAAAUCAUGAACUGUUCUAGAGGCGCGUCUACCCUCUCACUUUACAGUCAAGAGCUGAGACCCAGAGAAGUUAAGCGAGUUGUACGACUUAUAGUAAACCGACUUAAUUUUACUUUUCUCAUCUGUAAAAUGUGAAAUGUUUGUAAAUGUAUCUACAUGGUCAUGGGCUGAAUGUUUGUGCCCUCCGCCCCCCGCAAAUUCACAUGUUGAAAUCCUUCCCUCCAAUGUGGGGGCACUGGGAGGUGGCGCCCUGGGAGGUGAUCAGGUCAUGAGCACAGAGCCUUCGUGAAGGGGAUCAGUGCCUUUACUGAGGGGACCCCAGAGAGCCCCAUCUUUCUGUUACACUUUCUGUGUUUCUACACAACUGGAAGACUGCGGACACAACCUGGGAGGAGACCCUCACAAGAACUCCCCAAUGCUGGUGCCAGAUCUCAGACUUCACCUUCCAGAACCGUCUAAGCGGCUGGGGGUAGGGCAUCUUUUCAUGGCAGCAUGAACCGAUGACACACAGUGACUGGGUUCUUGCCGCAUGGGAGACUCUGGACACCACUGAAUGUUAGCUCCUAUUGUUCCUGAGUACAAGAUCAGCCUCAUACAAGCCUCGCUUCAGACUCUCCCCAUUGGUUAUCUCUGCCUCAGCCUUCAUGUAAUGAGAUGAUUUUUAUGAAGACAUGGUUUUUUUUUUAAAUUAGCGUGUAUCAACUAGUUUGUAGAGUAAUUUGGUCAAGUACUUGAGCCUUGCUGAGGUAGUUUCCUUAUUGCCUAAAAUAAGGCAAUAAGGGCGCCCAGGUGGCUCAGUCAAUUAAGUGCCUGCCUUCGGCUCAGGUCAUGAUCUUGGUCCUGGGAUCGAGCCCCGUGUUGGGCUCCCUGCUCUGUGGGGUCUGCUUCUCCCUCUGCC